AAAGGGUGCGUAGGCGGCCUGUUAAGUCAGGGGUGAAAGACGGUAGCUCAACUAUCGCAGUGCCCUUGAUACUGACGGGCUUGAAUGGACUAGAGGUAGGCGGAAUGUGACAAGUAGCGGUGAAAUGCAUAGAUAUGUCACAGAACACCGAUUGCGAAGGCAGCUUACUAUGGUUUUAUUGACGCUGAGGCACGAAAGCGUGGGGAUCAAACAGGAUUAGAUACCCUAGU
This 230-nucleotide ribosomal RNA is filed under the name uncultured bacterium. RNAcentral's name for it is "partial 16S ribosomal RNA". It matches the Rfam family "Bacterial small subunit ribosomal RNA", at positions 562 to 791 of the family's 1533-position model. The record is from RNAcentral.